This is a long non-coding RNA of Sinocyclocheilus rhinocerous, 265 nucleotides long. RefSeq lists it as uncharacterized. The transcript has 2 exons. NCBI's taxonomy places the organism in Eukaryota, Metazoa, Chordata, Actinopteri, Cypriniformes, Cyprinidae. The record is from RefSeq and is a predicted model, not a curated record.
CUCCAAAGAACAAUGUCACAAAGUUUUAUUCUUGCAUAUCAUUUUGCUUCAUUUUAUAAAUAAUGUGUUUUCUUAUGAAUUUCAUGUGAGUUUUAUGAUCUUACAAUGCAUAUGUAUCACUUGUACUGUGAGAUUCAGAUCAACUCAAAAGCCCUAUUCGGACGGUAAAUGUUUCUCCUGACACCUUGAGAUUGAAAUAACAUGAUAAUAGAUGAUGGACUCAUGAAGCAGUGGAAGUUCAUUCAUCAUUUCUGUGAUGUGAAGC